RNAcentral lists this ribosomal RNA (433 nucleotides) under uncultured bacterium. RNAcentral's name for it is "partial 16S ribosomal RNA". It matches the Rfam family "Bacterial small subunit ribosomal RNA", at positions 29 to 507 of the family's 1533-position model. The record is from RNAcentral.
AACGAACGCUGGCGGCAUGCCUAACACAUGCAAGUCGAACGAGACCUUCGGGUCUAGUGGCGCACGGGUGCGUAACGCGUGGGAACCUGCCCUUAGGUUCGGAAUAACUUCCCGAAAGGGGUGCUAAUACCGGAUAAUGUCUUCGGACCAAAGAUUUAUCGCCUUUGGAUGGGCCCGCGUUGGAUUAGCUAGUUGGUAGGGUAAAAGCAUACCAAGGCGACGAUCCAUAGCUGGUCUGAGAGGAUGAUCAGCCACACUGGGACUGAGACACGGCCCAGACUCCUACGGGAGGCAGCAGUGGGGAAUAGUGGACAAUGGGCGAAAGCCUGAUCCAGCAAUGCCGCGUAAGUGAUGAAGGCCGUAGGGUUGUAAAGCUCUUUUACCCGGGAUGAUAAUGACAGUACCGGGAGAAUAAGCCCCGGCUAACUCCGUG